RNAcentral lists this ribosomal RNA (587 nucleotides) under uncultured bacterium. RNAcentral describes it as "partial 16S ribosomal RNA". It matches the Rfam family "Bacterial small subunit ribosomal RNA", at positions 355 to 1375 of the family's 1533-position model. The record is from RNAcentral.
UGGGGAAUUUUGGACAAUGGGCGAAAGCCUGAUCCAGCAAUGCCGCGUGUGUGAAGAAGGCCUUCGGGUUGUAAAGCACUUUUGUCCGGAAAGAAAUCCUUGGCUCUAAUACAGUCGGGGGAUGACGGUACCGGAAGAAUAAGCACCGGCUAACUACGUGCCAGCAGCCGCGGUAAUACGUAGGGUGCAAGCGUUAAUCGGAAUUACUGGGCGUAAAGCGUGCGCAGGCGGUUUGCUAAGACCGAUGUGAAAUCCCCGGGCUCAACCUGGGAACUGCAUUGGUGACUGGCAGGCUAGAGUAUGGCAGAGGGGGGUAGAAUUCCAUGUGUAGCAGUGAAAUGCGUAGAGAUGUGGAGGAAUACCGAUGGCGAAGGCAGCCCCCUGGGCCAAUACUGACGCUCAUGCACGAAAGCGUGGGGGAGCAAACAGGAUUAGAUACCCCUGGUAGUCCACGCCCUAAACGAUGUCAACUAGUUGUUGGGGAUUCAUUUCCUUAGUAACGUAGCUAACGCGUGAAGUUGACCGCCUGGGGAGUACGGUCGCAAGAUUAAAACUCAAAUGAAUUGACGGGGUCAUAGCUGUUUCCU